CGCAUCUGUGCAUGCAGCAUAUCAAUAAGCGGAGGAAAAGAAACUAACAAGGAUUCCCUUAGUAACGGCGAGUGAAGCGGGAAGAGCUCAAAUUUGAAAUCUUAAAGGGUUUACCUUUACGAAUUGUAGUUUAAAGAAGUGUUUUCUGUUGAAGUUUUGGUAAAAGUUCUUUGGAAUAGGACAUCAUAGAGGGUGAGAAUCCCGUAUUUGACCAUUAUUUUCAGCUGUGUGAUACACUUUCAAAGAGUCGGAUUGUUUGGGAAUGCAGUCCAAAAUGGGUGGUAAAUUUCAUCUAAAGCUAAAUAUUGGCGAGAGACCGAUAGCGAACAAGUACCGUGAGGGAAAGAUGAAAAGAACUUUGAAAAGAGAGUUAAACAGUACGUGAAAUUGUCAAAAGGGAAGCGUUUGACACCAGUGUUGUUUUCUCGAAAAUCAAUUAAAAAGAGUUAGAUUUUGUUGUGUAUUGACCUUAACAGCUUGCAUUUCAAUUUUCUUGCUUUUUUUAAUGCACUUUUCGUUUAACAAGUCAACAUCAGUUUCUUUUGUUGUAAAAAGGUCAUUGGAAGGUGGCUUUCUUUUCGGAGAAAGUGUUUAUAGCCUUUGACUCCUGCAAUCGGAGAGACUGAGGUCUGCAGCGUAGAUCCUUCGGGGUUAGAUACAUUUGUGCUAAGUUAUAGCUUUUUAUAGACAACUUGUUGACUAUGAUUAGUCUUGUAGCUUACUCGCUUAUGCUAUUUUACCUACGCUUAGGAUGUUGAUGUGAUACUGCGAGCA
RNAcentral lists this ribosomal RNA (774 nucleotides) under uncultured Neocallimastigales. Its description in RNAcentral is "partial large subunit ribosomal RNA". It matches the Rfam family "Eukaryotic large subunit ribosomal RNA", at positions 26 to 629 of the family's 3401-position model. The record is from RNAcentral. Lineage: Eukaryota; Fungi; Neocallimastigomycota; Neocallimastigomycetes; Neocallimastigales.